GAGGGGAACAACAGCUGGAAACGGCUGCUAAUACCCCAUAGGCUGAGGAGCAAAAGGGGGAAUCCGCCCAAGGAGGGGCUCGCGUCUGAUUAGUUAGUUGGUGAGGCAAUGGCUUACCAAGGCGACGAUCAGUAGCUGGUCCGAGAGGAUGAUCAGCCACACUGGGACUGAGACACGGCCCAGACUCCUACGGGAGGCAGCAGUGGGGAAUUUUCCGCAAUGGGCGAAAGCCUGACGGAGCAAUGCCGCGUGAAGGCAGAAGGCCCACGGGUCAUGAACUUCUUUUCUCGGAG
Molecule: ribosomal RNA, 293 nt
Filed under: uncultured organism
Description: partial 16S ribosomal RNA
Rfam family: Bacterial small subunit ribosomal RNA
Source: RNAcentral